AACAUUGUUACAGACUUCAAAGUUUAUGGAUGACUUGUAAGGUGAGGAUUCACAGCAAAGUAAUCUCAGAUAUCUUACUACAGCCACCACCUUCUGCAAACAUGAAAAGAGAUCACAUAAAAUCACAGAUCUCCAGGGAAGCUGAGAUAGAAGACAAGCUUACAACCUAUUGUUGACAGUAUUUCAAAACAAAAGCCAAUCUGUAGUGUACAGAAGCAGAAUUCAUGUUAGGUCUGCAUUCUUGCUUAUGUAUGCAAAUUACUGUAACAUUUACAGUACAGAGCAAAAAUGCACUGAUCGGUUCACGUUUUCCAACUCACUCAUAAGUGUUUUGUGCCGUCCACAUUAAGAGCGCCCCCCCAAUAGCACUCUUACCCUAAGUCUAAAUUACAUUCAGUUAACAGGGUUGAUUAUUUUUAAUGUUGCUGGUUGUUAUGAUUUGGAUUUGAUCCUGCUCCAUUAGCAGGUGAUUACCAGGUGAGUGCAUUACUAAAACAGACACAGCAUAUGGAAAAAAAGCAGCAGUCUGUUUCUCUUUCCUGCUCAGUUCCACCGAUCAUCUCCCUCAGAGUGCAUUAAUUACUCCAGAAUAGGAAUUAAUUCGAAGGAAUUAAGCAUAAUACGGUUUAAUUCCACUGAUCGUGAGAGCUGUGUGUGCAUUACAGAACAAGCAGAUCUUACCAUCCUUCCGGUCUCGUUUAUUUCCCUCCAUAGCAUUCUAUUGUUACACGUAAUGUAUUCUAUUUCAUUCCAUUAUACAGAGUGCCAUUUACUUCCAUUCAUUUUCAUUCUGUUCUAUUCCAUUCCAUCAGUGAAAGCUGAUAUCUCAUUGCUGCCAUUGUGGCUGGUAACUGCAUCCAACAUCCUGAUUGGAUUGAAGGUGGGAGUGAACAUUGGCAAGACCCCAAAGUCUGGUGGCCCUGCAUUCGGCCACCCUCUCAGAUUCACACACACCCACAAAGGCCGUCCUUUAAGGCUGAUGGAAGAGUUCACCAUCGAACAAGCACAGGGGCAUCUUUCUCAGGGUCCUCCGAGUCUCUCACACACAAUCAGUUCUUCAUUAUCCCAGGUCAGAUUCAGUAAAUGGUCCACCCUUCAAUAAAGAGACUGAAAAAGAAG
Cyprinus carpio (common carp) is the source of this 1119-nucleotide long non-coding RNA. The record is from Ensembl. NCBI's taxonomy places the organism in Eukaryota, Metazoa, Chordata, Actinopteri, Cypriniformes, Cyprinidae.